UACGGAGGGGGCUAGCGUUGUCCGGAAUCAUUGGGCGUAAAGAGCGUGUAGGCGGCCCGGUAAGUCUGUUGUGAAAGUCCAGGGCUCAACCCUGGAAUGCCGAUGGAUACUGCCGGGCUAGAGUUCGGAAGAGGCGAGUGGAAUUCCUGGUGUAGCGGUGGAAUGCGCAGAUAUCAGGAGGAACACCGAUGGCGAAGGCAGAUCUCUGGGCCGUAACUGACGCUGAGGAGCGAAAGCAUGGGGAGCGAACAGG
Molecule: ribosomal RNA, 253 nt
Filed under: uncultured bacterium
Lineage: Bacteria
Description: partial 16S ribosomal RNA
Rfam family: Bacterial small subunit ribosomal RNA
Source: RNAcentral